Molecule: transfer RNA, 74 nt
Filed under: Candidatus Vogelbacteria bacterium RIFOXYD1_FULL_46_19
Lineage: Bacteria; Candidatus Vogeliibacteriota
Description: tRNA-Gln
Rfam family: tRNA
About the family: Transfer RNA (tRNA) molecules are approximately 80 nucleotides in length.
Source: RNAcentral
UGCCGGAUCAUCUAAUGGUAGGAUGCAUCCCUCUGGAGGAUGUCAUCUUGGUUCGAAUCCAAGUCCGGCAGCCA